This 4663-nucleotide long non-coding RNA is filed under the name Marmota monax (woodchuck). The record is from RNAcentral. Lineage: Eukaryota; Metazoa; Chordata; Mammalia; Rodentia; Sciuridae.
AAUCAGAACAUAGUUGGAGUCUCUGGAAGCUUCCAAUGUAGAACUCAGGAUUACUGAGUAGAAGAAGAAAACCCAGAACCCAAGUAAGAUAACAGGAGAGAACAACCUACCUCAGUUGUGCUCUCUUCCCUACUAGUUGGAAAACUCAGAAUACAUCAGUGAACUUGUCACUUAAUUCAGACUUUCCUCAACAAAAAUUAAGUUCUGAGGAUACAGCUUUCAAUUUUAAUAAAAAUUAUUAGAAGCUUUUGUAUCUCAUUAGCCAGGUUUGUUAAAUUGUAUUUGUAACAAAAAUCUGUGUAUAGGUGACAGCUUCAUCAUUUGUUAUGUUGUAAAUCUGAUUUCACUAUUUCCCUUAAAGUCUUUGAAAGAUUUCUUUAACAGAAGAUGACAAAACUCUAAAAUACAUAUUUUUUAAAAAUGCACUAAUACAGGUGAUUACAGAAUAAGUAAUGGGUUGUUUUGUUUGGUGUUAGUCAAUAGUUGUUUUUCCAAGAAGUCUUAGAAUAUAUAGAAGAUCGUGUGAUUUUGAACUUUGUAUUGUAUAGGAAGUAGCAUUUAAAUGAAAACUACAUUGAUUGAGGGAUAUUUAGUACUCCAUAAGGUCCAAAAGUUUCCAUUUAAAUUGACAGAAACUCCAAAUAGGUUCUUGGUUUACCUUUAAAAUGUGCUCUAGGCCUGGUGGAUGUAGCUCGGUGGUAGAAUGCUUACAUAGCAUGUACAAGGCCUGGGGUGCCAUCCUUAGCAUCGUCUUUUCUCUCUCUUAUGAAAUAAGUAUGUCACAGAGGCUUUUAAAAUUUUUUGUUCUUACCAGGCGUGGUGGUGCACGCCUGUAAUCUCAAUGGCUCAGGAGGCUGAGACAGGAAGAUCACGAAUUGAAAGCCAGUCUCAGCAACAGCAAGGCACUAAGCAACUCAGUGAGACCCUGCCUCUAAAUAAAACACAAAGUAGGGCCAGGGAUGUGUCUGAGGUUGAGUGCCCUGGAGUUCAAUCCUCAGUUGUUGUGGUGGUUGGUUGGUUGUUCUCUAAUGAACACCUGCUGUUCACGAUCUUUAGUUGCAUCUAUGGAUCAUCUUUAGACUGCCCCACGUGGGGGCUGGAGUUGUGGCUCAGUAGUAAAGUACUUGCCAACAUGUGUGAGGCACUGGGUUCAAUUCAAGUCUCAGCACCACCUGUCAAUAAAAUAAAGGUCCAUCAACAACUAAUAAAAAUAUUUAAUAAUUAAAAAAACCUACCCACCCACUCCCUGCAACUUUAAAGGCAUCUUCAAAAUUUUUCAAGUCAUUUCAGGGGAGAAAUAUCAGCUAAGAUUUUCAUCACCACAGCCUGGUUGAACCCAGGUGCAGACUUAGUUUGUUCUGCUGACUAAGGCAUUAGGUGCUUUACCAUAAAGUCAGGUUUGUCUGCUCUGGGGGCAGAUUAACCCAACAUUGUCAUUGCAAACCUCAUCUGAUUGCUGCUAGUUGUGAAGCCUCCCCAGUGCCAGUAAUUGGGCACUUGAGAGAAGUCAAGUGUGAAAUUGUGCAGACCUGAGCUUCUCAUCAGCUGCCCUUGGAGUAUUGGUUUUAGGCACUGAGUUUGCAGCUAACAUUUCCAGGGAGAAUAAUAGUUUAUCUGGGUAUUUAGGAAGGGUUAGAUAUUUAAGAGAAAGCCAUAUUAAAAUCUAGGUAUCGUUUCCUUUCUACUUACUUACUAAAGGGGUAAGAGUUGCAAGCCUCAGCCAGUAGUUGACAAUUUGGUUUCCCUACUGUAGACUCUGUGCCUCAUUGUAACUUAAAAUUGCAAAAGUGAAAUUUGGAGAUAUUUGUGCCUCACUUGAAAUAACUGUGAGAAAACAUGGUAAAAACUUACACCCUAGGUAUGAAUAAGGAAAAGUUAAUGGAUGAUCAGUCUGAGGUUAGUGUGGUGUAAGUGUUAGUGACAUGUUUUUCCUCUUGGCAUCAUCAUUCAUGUGCUAUGACAGGUUGAAAUCCAGCCAUCUGCUUGGUAGCUUCUGUGGAGGCAACAUUCAGGAAGGCCAGUCUCAGUGAUAUAAUGGAAUCACAUCAGACCCAACUGGGAUAUGUCAGUGACAGUCCUUUGGACUCUAUAAUUGAGGUAUUUCUAAGUUAGCAGACUUUGCAGAGUUGGUUGGAGUGCGAUAGCUGUCCUUUCCUUUCUUGGAGAGAAUGCACUUCAGUGGCUUUCAAGUCCCCUGAACUUGCUGUAUUGUUUAUUCUCUCACUGCCAUUUUUGAGUGGAAAAAAAGGGACAUUACUUCCCCCUCUCCACCUUUCUUAUUUAUAUUUUAGUAUGCAAAUUCUAUUCCUUCCUGCUUCCUUUUUUUUUUUGAACCCAGAAUACACUGUUAAAGUAAUUUCAUGACAGAGAAACCUUUUGAUGCCAUUUGAGUGCUCUGAGCCUUACUUCUUAAGUAAAUGGAUAAAACUAGAGCAAAGUCAGAGACUGAAAUAGAAGGUUUGGUAUUAUAAAAGAUGGAUUCUGUUUGAUAAGUUCUUUUACAGUGUGUGUGUGUGUGUGUGUUUGGAAUUCAGUUCUUGUUAGAAAUAAGAAGACAUGGUCUUCGUGGUGUGUUUGUCAGGGAGAGUCAAGUGUUUUCUAACAAAAGUGAGCUAGGAAGAAAACUCUAUCUUGAGACAUCUGUAGUUGCUGCAAAACAUUUCUAUAAAAUCAAUUUAAUACAUGUUUUCAUAGCUUUUCUUUCAAGGAAGCGUCUGCAGUCUAAUAGAAACAUGCUGACAGUCUCUCGUCUAUAUGGUAUGCUAUGAGCAGAGCAGAAUUUCAGGCAGAAAUUUCACUGAUGACUUGUAGUUCAAAGUUUUCUGUUUCCUCCCACAAGGAGGCUUCAAAACCCUCUGUUUGACCUAAAUAGGAGCUAGUUCCAUUGUGCUUUCUGCUGACCCUGGGGGUAGAAGUAAGGGCCAGAAUGAGCAUGUGAAUAAAUGGCAGGAAAGCUUUGUUGGUGUUUUUUGUUUUGUUUUUGUUUUUGGUAUGUCAGACAGCAAAUCUUAUUCAGUUUACAAAAUUAUUAAAAGGAUUGAAGAAGCAAAAAAAAAAUGGUGUAAAAGAGAUUUCCUAUAAUUGUAGGGAGUAAUUAUAGGGAGUUAUUGUCACACCUUGGACUGAAGGAACACGAUAGAAGAUUUGAGUUAUCUAGUGCCCAGGCAAGCUGGUCAUCAAAGCUGCUGAAUUAGAACCUCUGGCAUCACUUUGUGGAACUCAAUGCAUGGCCAUCACUCCAAAUUAUACUAACCUAAGAAUCAAUCUAUUGAGCUUGUCCUCCAUGACAUUUGUUUUAGCUUUUUUUGCUACUGUGACCCAACACCUGACAAUACUUAGAAGAAGAAAAGUUUAAAAAUAUGGCGCCUCACAGUUUCAGAGAUCUCAGUCCAUAGAUAGCUGACUCCAUUCCUCAGGGCUUGGGAGAGGCAGAACAUUCCUGCUAGAAGGGUGUGGUAGGUCAGCACAUGACCACAAAAAGCAGAUAUUUUUGUUUUUUGAGUGAUGAGGGAGUCCGUGAUGAUCCUUAGAAUUGUAUCCAGUCUCCAUUGUGAGUUUUAGAAUGUUAAAUACAUUUUCUUUUCACACCUACCAAGUUGAUAGACCAAAAACAUACACUGAAAUAGCACAAAAGAUAAAAUUUAAAGGGGAUUUUUCUCAUGGUCCAAAUGGUGGUGAGAGCCCAUGACUUUGAUAAUAUAUACUGGAAUUGGAAUCAAAUCUCAUUUACUGCAAAUUUUAGAACUAGAAGUGUGCAUUUAUGUCCUUAAAAAAUUAUGCAGAGCUCUUUGUUAAAGAUGAUAAGCAAUUUGCAGCCCUUGAACUGGGACUUUAAAAUCAGGAAGAGAGCCUCUGCAAGUGGCAUGCACUGAAAUCCCAUUCUAAAAGUUAAGGUAGACUCAAAUGUAUACCAACUAUUUUAAUUAUGAACCAUUUAGAGUAAAAACUUCUGGGUGUCAUAUCUCAUGGAAUCUGUGAAUUACAGACCUUGCUGAAUUCAUGAGAAAGAAAACUGGUUGCAACUGGUUUAAGUCAACAUGUUAAAAAUUUCUACAUGAUUGACUCAAAUGAUUUGAAAGUCCAAAUAAAGCAUGAUAUCGUUGUCAGGAAACAUCAUCUUCUAAGCUUGUUAUCUGCUUUUAUGAAGGGAAAGUGGAAGAGAGAGUGAGAUAUGAAGCCAAAGUAGGAUCAGACAGCACCUGAGUUUUGCACCAAAGUUUCAAAUGUGAAUAAACAAAAAGGAGGACCAUUUGUAAGCCAACCUAGGAGGACUUGCCAGAAAGUAGCAGCCCCUGCUACACAAUACAGUGCCUUCAAAAUGAUGCUCUGUGUGAAUUGCAUGCAAUUUCAUGUAACCCUGAAGUGUAACCUGUAUGUGCAUGAUCUGUCUAGAAUGUGUAAAGUUAAGAUUCAGCAGAAAGGGGCCUAGCUCUGUCACUGAUGGGUCAGUGAGCCUGCUGAAGUCGUUGGACUUGAUGUGACCUGGGUCUGAACCCUCACACCCCUGAGUCUGCAUUAAACAACCUUGUUGAAAUUCGAUUCAUCUCUCCCUUUCAAUUUUCCUACUUUGCAGCUUUGCUGGUUUUAACUGCUUCAUUCUUCUGCUUCUUGGUAUCCUUUCUUCUUUUGAAAUAAAAAGACUAAAUACUUAAUUCAAAGGAGA